AACGAACGCUGGCGGCAGGCUUAACACAUGCAAGUCGAACGCAUGUAGCAAUACACGAGUGGCGCACGGGUGAGUAACGCGUGGAUAUCUGCCUUUUGGUUCGGAAUAACCCCGGGAAACUGGGGCUAAUGCCGGAUGGUUCCUUCGGGAUAAAGAUUUAUCGCCAAAAGAUGAGUCCGCGUCCGAUUAGCUAGUUGGUGAGGUAAUGGCUCACCAAGGCGACGAUCGGUAGCUGGUCUGAGAGGACGAUCAGCCACACUGGGACUGAGACACGGCCCAGACUCCUACGGGAGGCAGCAGUGGGGAAUAUUGGACAAUGGGGGCAACCCUGAUCCAGCCAUGCCGCGUGAGUGAUGAAGGCCUUCGGGUUGUAAAGCUCUUUUGGCGGGGACGAUGAUGACGGUACCCGCAGAAUAAGCCCCGGCCAACUUCGUGCCAGCCGCCGCCGUAA
RNAcentral lists this ribosomal RNA (451 nucleotides) under uncultured bacterium. RNAcentral's name for it is "partial 16S ribosomal RNA". It matches the Rfam family "Bacterial small subunit ribosomal RNA", at positions 29 to 523 of the family's 1533-position model. The record is from RNAcentral.